UAUGAUGAAUGCUGUCAGUCGCUCUGGAUAAGAGCGUCUGCUAAAUGACUAAAA
This is a non-coding RNA of Salmo salar (Atlantic salmon), 54 nucleotides long. NCBI's taxonomy places the organism in Eukaryota, Metazoa, Chordata, Actinopteri, Salmoniformes, Salmonidae. The record is from Rfam.